AACGCACGAGACCUGCGGACCUGCGGAAGGAUCAUUACACAAUACAAUAUGAAGGCUGUCCGCAGCUGGAGUAUUUUAUUACCCUUGUCUUUUGCGCACUUGUUGUUUCCUGGGCGGGUUCGCUCGCCACCAGGACCACCAAAUAAACCUUUUUUAUGCAGUUGCAAUCAGCGUCAGUACAAACAAUGUAAAUCAUUUACAACUUUUAACAAUGGAUCUCU
RNAcentral lists this unclassified non-coding RNA (221 nucleotides) under soil metagenome. RNAcentral describes it as "partial contains 5.8S ribosomal RNA, internal transcribed spacer 2, and large subunit ribosomal RNA". The record is from RNAcentral.